This 365-nucleotide ribosomal RNA is filed under the name uncultured eukaryote. Its description in RNAcentral is "partial 18S ribosomal RNA". It matches the Rfam family "Eukaryotic small subunit ribosomal RNA", at positions 592 to 976 of the family's 1831-position model. The record is from RNAcentral.
CAAUAGCGUAUAUUUAAGUUGUUGCAGUUAAAAAGCUCGUAGUCGGAUUUUGGCUGAGAACGAUCGGUCCGCCGUUAGGUGUGCACUGAUUGGUCUCAGCUUCCUGGUGAGGAGGUGUGCUUCACGGCCACUUAGUCACCGUGGUUACUUUGAAAAAAUUAGAGUGUUCAAAGCGGGCUUACGCUUGAAUAUAUUAGCAUGGAAUAACGCCAUAGGACUCCUGUCCUAUUUCGUUGGUCUCGGGACGGGAGUAAUGAUUAAGAGGAACAGUUGGGGGCAUUCGUAUUUCAUUGUCAGAGGUGAAAUUCUUGGAUUUAUGAAAGACGAACUUCUGCGAAAGCAUUUGCCAAGGAUGUUUUCAUUGA